This 492-nucleotide ribosomal RNA is filed under the name uncultured bacterium. RNAcentral describes it as "partial 16S ribosomal RNA". It matches the Rfam family "Bacterial small subunit ribosomal RNA", at positions 29 to 507 of the family's 1533-position model. The record is from RNAcentral.
AGUGAACGCUGGCGGUAGACCUAACACAUGCAAGUCGAACGGCAGCACAGUAAGAGCUUGCUCUUACGGGUGGCGAGUGGCGGACGGGUGAGGAAUACAUCGGAAUCUACUUUUUCGUGGGGGAUAACGUAGGGAAACUUACGCUAAUACCGCAUACGACCUACGGGUGAAAGCAGGGGACCUUCGGACCUUGCGCGAUUGAAUGAGCCGAUGUCGGAUUAGCUAGUUGGCGGGGUAAAGGCCCACCAAGGCGACGAUCCGUAGCUGGUCUGAGAGGAUGAUCAGCCACACUGGAACUGAGACACGGUCCAGACUCCUACGGGAGGCAGCAGUGGGGAAUAUUGGACAAUGGGCGCAAGCCUGAUCCAGCCAUACCGCGUGGGUGAAGAAGGCCUUCGGGUUGUAAAGCCCUUUUGUUGGGAAAGAAAAGCAGCAGGUUAAUACCCCGCUGUUCUGACGGUACCCAAAGAAUAAGCACCGGCUAACUUCGUG